Cygnus olor (mute swan) is the source of this 4773-nucleotide long non-coding RNA. RefSeq lists it as uncharacterized. NCBI's taxonomy places the organism in Eukaryota, Metazoa, Chordata, Aves, Anseriformes, Anatidae. The transcript is spliced from 3 exons. The record is from RefSeq and is a predicted model, not a curated record.
CUAAUGUGACAGUGAGCUGUAAAAGUCUCCUUCCAAAACAGACCAAGGAGAGAGGAGCCAUCAGUCCUGCGUGGCCUUCUGCACUGCGGGAAAUAGGGCAUUUUAUUACAGAACGGCAGGUUGUCACAAAAGCUGAUGCUACAGUCACUUCUUAGCUUGGCAGUUACAGAGUUAAUUUUCUGGGACAGUAUUUUCCCAGGUGGAAAGGCAGCAGAGAAGAGAAGUAUACCUGGGAGAAGAGGUAUUGGGUGGUUGCAUAAAUGCUUCGAUUGGAGCCAGGUAUCCUUGUCAGGAAGUUUGCUGGAUGGCAAAACUGCCUCUCCUACGCUAUCAUUUUGUGGUAAAGAAGGUUGUGUUUGGAUCACAUUCUAAAUAGGCAAAGGUACUCCACAGGGAACCGCCUCUGCUGUCGGCUCUGAGAAGUGGAAGGUUUUGUGCAUAUAUUCAGUUCAUUCUGAAAUCUCAGAUGUCAUCUCCUCAGCCCAUUUCCAUAAUUACUUAUGUGGAACCACAUCUUGCAGCCAUGAUGAAAAUGGAAAAGAAAGAAAGAAAAGAGUAGGAGUUAAAAACAAAAGAAAGAAAAAAAAAGGUGUCUAAAAACCCCACUAGUCUCUGUCUGCCCAAACCAUGGAGCUGAUGUCUUGCCUAGGGGAAUCUGUGCAAAGAUCUUAGUUCUGUGUCUUUUUAGCCUCAUUCCAGAAGUCCCGAUUUCAACUUGUGUAAGAUAAAAGAGCAUGUGUUUUUCAGUAUGUUUUAAUUAGCUGUGGUUUUCAGAAUCUAUAAUUUAUAUAACUUUGAGAAUCUACUGACACCGAGUCAAUUUUUGGAUUUUUGCUUUUUUGGGUUUAUUAUUUAUAAAGCUCCUGGUUUUUAAUAUUUAAAUAAUCAUUCUCGACUUUGAAAUCAUUCCACAUCUUGCCCCCUCCUAGUUCAUUUCUCUCUCCCGUGUGGGCUGGACUCCCAGAUCCCUUGUGAUUUGUGGCAAAUUUCCCACAGAACUCUGUGACUAACCCCAGCCUUACCAGUGUGGUUACUGCCUUGGUGACUGCUGGAAGCUGUACAGCAGAUUUGCAAAGGGAACUGACUGGACAACACGUGCUGCAGCACGCCCUCCUUUCUGUCCUCUCAGGAUGCUGUGGGGUUUUGGUUUCAUUCUAGAGGUAGUGAUUAACUAUAGUUCAGUCCUAUCACUUUGGGAAGCAAAUAACCCAGUCCAAUUUUUUUUGGUUAAUUGAUGGGCUGAGUAGUCCAUAGCAAGUGUUUUAAUUUUGGUCUGUCUCUGAAGUUAUUAACAUUACAGAAAUUAAUUAUCAUAUGUGCAUAAAAUUGCCUUAACCAAAUUGCAUUUCUUCCUGGGAAGAUUACCGAGCAGAUAUCAUUCUAUUGCCGCAAUUGUACUGUAAAGGCAAAUGUUUGUAUUGUGUUAUCUCAACUAAACUUAGGAGUCUAUAGUCUUGUUUUAUUAAGUGUCUCACACAGAUUUAUAGUUUCCUUUAGCUCUGGCUUCUAGCUUCGUAUCAAGCUCUUCUCUGCAGGGAGUGAAGAAAAUAUUUCUAAGCCUAUAAUGUUCAUCUUUUCCUGACAUGCUUUAUUGUGAUAUAUUAAUUAUAUUUAAAUAACAUUCAUUAAAACUGUACUUGUCACUUCAAGAUUUUAAAAUCGGUGUCAGGGAAAAUUAAAGCCUUUGUUUCAAAUUCUCUUUCUGAUUAUCUUCUCUCUAAUUGACUUUCGCUCCUUUCCAGUCAAGUUUUAAUUUCCUUGUGUGGCUAUAUAAAACUGUCCAGUUCUAUUUUUCUUUCUUCCGUCUUGCUUUGCAUUUCUGGCCUACUGUUGUGUAACUGAUCCAUUUUCAUUGCCUACUAAGUAUAAGUACUGUGCACAAUGAAGACCCUAGGAUGUGCCUGUGAAAAAGUUGUGGUCAAAGCGUUCUUUGCAGACCAAUUUUUAUUUCAUAUUAAUUUUACUUAAUGUAUUUAAUCCUAGAUUUGUUUACUAGUUUCAACUAUAAAACCCAGAAGAUUUCUGAUCCCCACUGAAGAAGAGCACAUGUAUGAAACUGUGUAACUUCGCAGUCAACUGUGAAGAGGUGUAACACAAUAAUACCAAGCCAUAAUUGAGAUGCAUUGGAUGUUUAUCAUGACUAUACUGACAAGAAUUUGAUCACCCAGUGCCAUUUAAUAGACUGUCUCCCGGAAGUUUGUCCUGCUUUCUAGGUUGUGUUAAUGGUCUGACAGAAGUUCAAAACUUACUGCACAUCUUGUUGGCAAAAAACAAAGGAAACAAAAUGCCCCAAACCAGAACUGUAACAUGCAAAUAGAUACUUCAUCAAUGUAUUCUUUAAAAGAGGAGUUAUCAGUAUGCUUUGUAUUUUUAAAGGAGGAAAAAUAGAACCACUAACAGGACACCUGGGUGUUGUGUCUCAGCUAAACAAUAUGCCUUCAAAAACAUGCUUCUACUUUCACAGUGUUUCUUAUUCACGGCUGCCAGAUCAGAGUAGACGUACCUGUUGAUGCUGACCUGCGUGAUAACAUCCCUGUGAAGUUCAUUGGCUAACGACGUGCCAGCAGACCAAGGUGCACUUUGAAUAUAAAGUCGGCAGGGAAUUAACUGGGGCUUUGAUCCCUUUGCCAUCUGGUGGUACUGAACUUAGCAUUCCCUGAGGGGUGGGGAAGGAGUAUUGCUCCUUUUGCAGUAUUUUGCCUACUGGAGAAAGAUAAAGUUGAUUGAAUGGAAUGCUUAAAAAUCAUUGCCACGUCUGAAAGUAUUAUAAGGAGGAAGAUAUUUGUAAAGAUGGAAAGAAGUUGCCAUAAUGUAGUCAAAGCACAAGUAAACUGAGAGAAAAGGCUGUCAGAGAAUGAAGUCAGUCUUCAUCAUUGAUAAAUAUUGGCUUCAUCAAGUGCAGUGCAGGAUGCAACAUCUCCAAGGCAGAAUUUUUUUAAUACUUUCUUUGACAUCACAAGGAGCUGUUGUAUUCCACACUACAUCAAAUAUAUGUUUUCCAGCAGACUUUAUUAACUUAUUAAAUCAGCAAGAAGAAAUAGCCACUUUGUUCUAUUUAAUUUAAAACAAUAAAACUAAAUAAUAAAAGUGUGGCUUCAUAAUGUAGUCUCAUGUUAGAUAAGAAGGUCCUUUAUUCAAUAUUAGAAUUUCUUUCAGUAUUAAUGGAGUUUUCUUUACAUCCAUAUGUUUAAGUACGUGACAAAACAUAGGGGCCUAUAUGUUUGAUAGCAUGUGCCGUAUAAUUAAAUGUGAAAAGUCUUUGUUGAUGCAACUAAUAAGGUUCUGAAUUUAAAUGCACACAAGUCUAUAAAGUGAAACUUAUACAAAAUUAAAGAAAAAAGGAAACACGAUUAUUUAGGUUGCAUAUAUCGUAUGUGAAGGUAUGAUAACUUUGAUAAGAACAUCAAGCCUUUAUUUUCAUAGAUUCAUAGAGCUUAAAGCCCUGCCUACCCUGUUGUGUACUACAGCCAUAGACUUUUUCCAGACAACUUCUGUAUUAGAUUCAUGAUGUCCAUGUUGGGGAAAUGUAAAUUUAUGAAUUUAUAAAUGAGAAUUUGUAAAUUUAAUGAAGGUCUGAGUAGUCUAUUGAGCAUGUCACCCUAAGAUAAUGUUGAAAACAGAAUUUAAAGAAUGGGGUGACAUGAGGAGUGAUAAGAAUAUCCAGAACUAGUAAUUUUAAAUCCUUGGCUUCACAAUCUAACCUGUCCCCUAACUAACUGAGGUUUCUCUGUCAGCCGGUCACUUCACUGGUGUACCUGAGAGAAUUUCUUGCACUUUCCUUCCAAGUCACCGACACUAGCUGGACUUGGACAGAAAAAAAUUGUUUGAAGAAGUGAUAUGGGUCUGAUCUGGCAGUUGCUUUGAUAUUAUGCUAUAUAUAUCUGGAAGAAUUACGUCAAUUUUUAAAUCCUGUUCUUGAUUUAUUUCAUAUGCAAUGAUACUGAUAGCCUAGAAAUCCCUCCAAAAGUACUUGGAGCUUAGCUGAAACACAGGGAUGAAUGGCAUGAGGGAGGGUUAUGCGAGUCAAAGCCUGAGUUUGGACCAUCAAAAAAGCCUGUGAUUAAAAACAAAAAAGGGACUUGACUAUCUGUUUGAUUUUUGACACCAUAUCCUAGAAGUUAAUGAAUUCCCAGUCCUUCCUAUUGAAAUAUCAACUCCUAUAGCUUGAGAAAGCGUCUAGAAUUAUAUACAAGUGGCUUGGCUCUUCUGAAAAGAGAAGACCUACCUCAUAAUUCUCAUUUCUUGAAUUCAUGUUAAAGCCAACAGGAGCUCUGGAUACCUGGUGCCAUGUCAAGGAAGUGCUCAGUUUGCCCACUGCAACUCUGAGCUCAGACUCUUGGGUUGUAAAUAUGGAGGAACUUGUCAAAUAUCUUGUUUCGGAGCGUGAAUGUGUUUGUUACUCUCAAGUCUGUGACAGAUUUGGAAUAGCAAUUUUUUGAACUGACAAAAGCUUUCAAGAGCACCAACAGUAACAGUGUGUCAGUUUUAACAGUGAAUUUGGUGUCUUCUGUCAAUUUGUGAAACCCCUGUUAUGUUAUUUUAAAUGUUUCUACGUUAUUUUAGGUGUUUAUUUUUGCAUUUGAUAUAAAUGUCUUGAAAAUAUUUGGAGGCUACAGUUCCAGCUUUUUGAUUUGUGCUCAUGCUUUACUUAAUCCACCUGUUUUUCUGCCUGUGCAUGUAGAAGUCUGGAGCAGACACAAAUAAAUAUGAAAACAUAGGUGCAUUGUAGCUUUAUUUGUUCUUUUCAAUAAAUAUAGUUUUGAUCAACUUUAA